This 385-nucleotide ribosomal RNA is filed under the name uncultured bacterium. RNAcentral describes it as "bacterial SSU rRNA". It matches the Rfam family "Bacterial small subunit ribosomal RNA", at positions 350 to 751 of the family's 1533-position model. The record is from RNAcentral.
AGCAGUGGGGAAUUUUCCGCAAUGGGCGAAAGCCUGACGGAGCAAUACCGCGUGAGGGAGGAAGGCUCUUGGGUUGUAAACCUCUUUUCUCAGGGAAGAAAAAUGACGGUACCUGAGGAAUAAGCAUCGGCCAACUCCGUGCCAGCAGCCGCGGUAAUACGGAGGAUGCAAGCGUUAUCCGGAAUGAUUGGGCGUAAAGCGUCCGCAGGUGGCAUUUCAAGUCUGCCGUUAAAUACUGGGGCUUAACCCUGGAAAGGCGGUGGAAACUGAGAAGCUAGAGUGCGGUGGGGGCAGAGGGAAUUCCUGGUGUAGCGGUGAAAUGCGUAGAGCUCAGGAAGAACACCGGUGGCGAAAGCGCUCUGCUAGGCCGUAACUGACACUCAUG